UUAAUUAAUAGACUAGUAUAUUAUUGUUUUAUGAAAUAUAAGUUUCUAUACCUAAUUAAAAACACAUUACAGAAUUGAAAGGGACUUCACCCUUAGCCAUCCCUCUCAAAAGGAACUUCACCUCAGAACCUCCAUCAACCUCCGACUCUGCCAUCGUCCCGCCGUCAACCUCCGCAGUAGAACCUCCAACUCUAUAACAGCUACGGUCGUCAAAAACCACCUCCUUCUACAGCAGCCAACAACAACCACCAUCCCACCGUCAACAAAAUCAUUCCAGCUCUUCGACUAGUUCUGAGAUUUGAUUUUCUUUUUUCUUCACCCAUAAACUUUAUCUCCACCACUAGAAACAACCACCUCUUUCUAUUAAUCCAAGCUCCGCAUUUUCAAAUAGUCCCAAAAUUCUAGGAUUUUUUCUCUACUAAGCUCGACUACCACUUCUUGUUCUCACAGAGCCCUAAUUCUAGGUUUUUGCUUGACUCUCGCGAAUUUUCUGAUUUACAUUCUUCUUUUAUUUUUUUGCAAUUUCUCAAUAGUUGAUCCAUAAUUUGCAAAUUUCAUUAGUGAGGAAGAAAUUACAACUGGUAGUUGUAGGAUAAAUCGCAGUAAGUUUUUUUAAACUCUCUUUAUUUAAAUUUUAGAUAACCACAUUCGAUAGUUGUGUUUUUGAAUGAAGAUUUUAGUAUUAAUGUUCGUUAUUAUCCGAUUCAACUUAUUUUUAUUUUUGGGAGUAUUUGAGCGACAUAAUGUGAUUGAAUGGAGAUUAAACACACUGGUGCAUGUCUUCUUAUUAUGAUUGAAAUUGUGGAUUUCAUUGAAAUUAUGCUUUGCAUUGGUACAAUUGAUAGGUUUUGAUUCUAUAUUUUGUUAGAUAUUUCACUGUUUGAUGCAGUUGUCUUUAUUUAAAAAAAUUUCUUGUUCAACUUAUUAAACUCACAGCUUUAAAGCUGUGAGUUUUUUCUUCUGAAGCUAUUAAUAUAAGUUAGAGUUCAAUUAGGAUUUUGUCAUACAAUAAUUCCUCCCUUUUUGUUCUUGAUAUUAUGAGGAAAACAGGAAAUUUCAUCAAUAUUUAUGUUCAUAUCCUUAAAAUUCAUUUCAGAAAUAAUACACAAAUCAUAUUUUUUGUAUUGUGCAGAGAACUGCUUUGGCAGACUUGCGAGUCCCGUAACUCAGCUAUAUUUUCUGUAUAACCUUAGCUUUUGGUGGUUUAUUGGAGCUUGAACAUCCAAGUUUGUGCAGGUACAAUUUGUUUUGCUAUGUGAAAAUAACUUAAUUUUCGAUAGUAUGAAAAUGGCUAGUGAUAUUUUAUUUGUGGCCAAUUUCUAAUUAGAUAUUCCUCUGGGAAUCUUCUUUUUGUGUCUAUAGAGGUAUGUUCUUUAUUAUUUCCUUGGUAUUUAACAAUCUUUGAUAUUUUGUGGAGCUUCUGUUUGUGUUCUUUAUUUUAUCCUUGUUGAUUUUUCAAUUAGGUCCAGUCCAAUCGAAUGGAGUUAUUUGUUGUUUCAUUGGUAUUUAACAAUCCUUGUUGUUUGUGUCUAUAGAAGUAGUUAUUUGUGUUUAAAAAUUUCCAUAUGGAAAUCAAAUUGUAGCAGAAUUGUCGCACGAAACUGCUAUUCAUAAGAGACAAAAAGUACAUGUAAAUAUAAAUAGAAAAUCAAUUGCAUCAGACAUAUAUGGAUUCCACCAUAUUAAUAGACCUAAAAUAAUAUUUACAAACUUAUUUUCAGUAUGCAUUUUCUCAUAAAACUCCAGUACCUUAUUACUUGUUUUUUCACAAUGAAUUGCGUCUUCCUGGUAGGGACAAUUCCACUCAGUUCCUAGAUGCAUUUUCAAAUUGCAAGUCAGAUUCCACUAAGUUUUAUCCUCAAGGCCUCAAAGUCAGAAUUUCUUCUCCUCCUUCCUUGUGUUGUCGCCUCUACCACUUCUAUCUUUCUCCCAAAGUCAGAAUAGUCUAGUAAUUUUUACACUUUGCCUAUAUUCAAUUUUAAGAGAACUAGACUUGUUACUUAUUCAUAAUUCAGACAAAAUAUUUAUCCUGAGUAAUGCUAUAAAGACUCAACUUUUCUUGUUUACAUGAACUUAAUUUCCUUCUCUUUUCCCCCCUAACCUGCUUUUAUUGAAGUCUCAAUAAACAAAUCUCAUAGCUCACAUAGGCCAAAUAGCUGAGCACAAGAACAGCUAGGAAAAGAGAGGCAAAAUUCUGAAAAUGAUUGAAGUUCCAUUUACACUUAUACUGCUAUUGUUAUACAAGUAAAGAAAAUCCUCAAUAACCUUCUCAACAUAUACAGCUGUGUAUAUCCACAACAUACUAAUUGAUACUAAAUAUUUAUAGUGAUAUCACCAAAUUCAACAUGAUUCACAAAUCAGAAGUAUGGGGACAACAUCAAAAACUCUUAAAUUAUUAAUUCUCUAAUCUCCAAGAACUAUUGACACGAUAUCUUAGACCGAAUUCUCUUGAAGAGUAAUGACUUUAUUUAUCUUAUUUUGCAGGUGGAGUGGAUCACGAAAUGGAAGAUGAUGGCAAUGAAGAACUAGACCUUACUUGAGAUGAAUUUUGAAUUGCUAUGAUGAAAGUUCUAGGAAUCUUUUGUUAUCAACAUUUUGAAACUUACUCUCUAGAAAUGUAUUAAACUUAUGCACUUGGGGUAACGUUUGCUUUAUGAAUAUUAUUAGCUUGAUGGAUUAUUUAUAUGAUUAAUAGUUUUAUUUUGUGAUUUAUUUAAAUUCUAG
Molecule: long non-coding RNA, 2724 nt
Filed under: Nicotiana tabacum (common tobacco)
Lineage: Eukaryota; Viridiplantae; Streptophyta; Magnoliopsida; Solanales; Solanaceae
Description: long non-coding RNA (NTAB_LNC007514)
Source: RNAcentral